RNAcentral lists this ribosomal RNA (1422 nucleotides) under Triticum aestivum (bread wheat). RNAcentral describes it as "partial small subunit ribosomal RNA". Lineage: Eukaryota; Viridiplantae; Streptophyta; Magnoliopsida; Poales; Poaceae. The record is from RNAcentral.
AUGAAGUUAUGCACUGCACUAGCGAGCAGGGUAGUAAAGGCCACAUCAGCAGCAUCUCAUGUUGUUAUCAGAUGUGAUGCAGAGCUUCGCCGUGCUAGAAGAGUAGUUGAUGCUGCUGGCAGUGAUGAUGCAGCAGCAUUGGCAGCUCUAGAUGCUUCUGUCCGAUGUGAUGCUGCAUCUUUGGCAGCUCUACAAGCUGCUACCCGCUAUGAAGCAUUAGCUCAAGGAGCUAAUGCAAACCAUAGCGCAGACGCAACUGCACCAGCUCAACUAGCUCGAGAAGCUGCUGCUCGCUGUGAUGUGGAUGGUGCUGCUGCAGCAUCCCGAGCAGCAUUAAAGACUCUAGAUGCUUCUGUCCGAUGUGAUGCUGCAUCUUUGGCAGCUCUACAAGCUGCUACCCGCUAUGAAGCAUUAGCUCAAGGAGCUAAUGCAAACCAUAGCGCAGACGCAACUGCACCAGCUCAACUAGCUCGAGAAGCUGCUGCUCGCUGUGAUGUGGAUGGUGCUGCUGCAGCAUCCCGAGCAGCAAAUGCCUUUGCUGACAGCUGUGCUGCGGCAUGUGGCGAUGCAGAAAGAUUAACAUUGGCGGCUGGAGAAGCUGCUGCCCGCUGUGUUCUGGCACGUGACGACGCGGCAACAGCAUUAUUAUUGGUAGUUCGACAGGCUACUAUAACUACAAGGCGCCAUCUCAAGGCAUUCAGAGAAUCUGCCGACUCCCAUAAGGAAGCACGUAAAGAUGCAGUCGCAGCAGCGUUGGCUGUUCGAGAAAGCGCGGUUCGCUGUGCCGCGGCAAGUCGCCGUGCUGUGUUAGCAGCUUCGACAGCUCGAAAGAUCGCUUCCCGCUGUGAGGCAGCAGCAGCUUCGAAAGCUAGAGAAGCUGCCGCCGGUUGUGAUUUGGCACUGGCCGAUGCAAUAGAAGAUGGUGAUAAAGAGUUUGUGGACAAGAUGCGUGGUUGGCUCAUGACGGUGGCCACGCUCUUUGUGGGCAUAGCAUUCCAAGCAUUGCUGCAUCCGCCAGACGGGAUGUCCUUUGACAUACUAGUAAGUAAAAAUGCUAGGAAUUGGAAGGCAGGUCCUGGUGCUCCUUCGCCUGCUCCCAAUCUCGCUCCAUCUUCUGCAGCAACUGUGGUCAAUGCCACGCCCACCUAUGAUUGGGUAAGAGCGUUUUGUUACUUGACUUUCAACACAACUAUUAUGGCGUUUGCACUCAUCGUGCUGGUAUCGCUUCUGACCAUGAAAAAGGUCGCGUCUACAUAUAGCCUCGUUCAAAUAAAAGCUAUUGCAAUGACCCUCGUCAUUGCUGUUGUCGGUUCCGUGGUCACCGGUACAUCGAGAAACCUGGGUGUUCAACUAAACAUCCUUGGCAUCUUCGGUAUAUACGGCUUUACAUUAUUAAUCUUUGUUAAAUCUAGAGGUGUUUGA